UUUUAGAGAUAAGAGGGUGCUAGCUUGCUAGAACUUAGAGACAGGUGCUGCACGGCUGUCGUCAGCUCGUGUCGUGAGAUGUUGGGUUAAGUCCCGCAACGAGCGCAACCCACGUAUUUAGUUGCUAACGGUUCGGCCGAGCACUCUAAAUAGACUGCCUUCGUAAGGAGGAGGAAGGUGUGGACGACGUCAAGUCAUCAUGGCCCUUAUGCCCAGGGCGACACACGUGCUACAAUGGCAUAUACAAUGAGACGCAAUACCGCGAGGUGGAGCAAAUCUAUAAAAUAUGUCCCAGUUCGGAUUGUUCUCUGCAACUCGAGAGCAUGAAGCCGGAAUCGCUAGUAAUCGUAGAUCAGCCAUGCUACGGUGAAUACGUUCCCGGGUCUUGUACUCACCGCCCGUCACACCAUGGGAGUUGAUUUCACUCGAAGCCGGAAUACUAAACUAGUUACCGUCCACAGUGGAAUCAGCGACUGGGGUGAAGUCGUAACAAGGUAACCGUAGGAGAACCUGCGGUUGGAUCACCUCCUUUCUAG
This 536-nucleotide ribosomal RNA is filed under the name Campylobacter jejuni. RNAcentral describes it as "bacterial SSU rRNA". It matches the Rfam family "Bacterial small subunit ribosomal RNA", at positions 998 to 1533 of the family's 1533-position model. The record is from RNAcentral. Lineage: Bacteria; Pseudomonadati; Campylobacterota; Epsilonproteobacteria; Campylobacterales; Campylobacteraceae. RNAcentral also lists the same sequence under 1 other name.